UGCCAGCAGCCGCGGUAAUACGGAGGGUGCAAGCGUUAUCCGGAUUUACUGGGUUUAAAGGGUGUGUAGGCGGGUCUUUAAGUCAGUGGUGAAAUCUCCGAGCUUAACUUGGAAACUGCCAUUGAUACUAUUGAUCUUGAAUUCUGUUGAGGUGGGCGGAAUAAGUCAUGUAGCGGUGAAAUGCAUAGAUAUGACUUAGAACACCAAUUGCGAAGGCAGCUCGCUAAACAGAGAUUGACGCUGAGGCACGAAAGCGUGGGGAUCAAACAGGAUUAGAUACCCUGGUAGUCCACGCCCUAAACGAUGAUUACUCGACAUACGCGAUACACAGUGUGUGUCUGAGCGAAAGCAUUAAGUAAUCCACCUGGGAAGUACGACCGCAAGGUUGAAACUCAAAGGAAUUGACGGGGGCCCGCACAAGU
Molecule: ribosomal RNA, 422 nt
Filed under: uncultured bacterium
Lineage: Bacteria
Description: bacterial SSU rRNA
Rfam family: Bacterial small subunit ribosomal RNA
Source: RNAcentral